Molecule: ribosomal RNA, 484 nt
Filed under: uncultured bacterium
Lineage: Bacteria
Description: bacterial SSU rRNA
Rfam family: Bacterial small subunit ribosomal RNA
Source: RNAcentral
AUUGAACGCUGGCGGCAUGCCUUACACAUGCAAGUCGAACGGCAGCACGGGAGCAAUCCUGGUGGCGAGUGGCGAACGGGUGAGUAAUGCAUCGGAACGUGCCAUUGAGUGGGGGAUAACGUAGCGAAAGUUACGCUAAUACCGCAUAUUCUGUGCGCAGGAAAGCAGGGGAUCGCAAGACCUUGCGCUCUUUGAGCGGCCGAUGUCAGAUUAGCUAGUUGGUGAGGUAAAGGCCUACCAAGGCGACGAUCCGUAGCGGGUCUGAGAGGAUGAUCCGCCACACUGGGACUGAGACACGGCCCAGACUCCUACGGGAGGCAGCAGUGGGGAAUUUUGGACAAUGGGGGCAACCCUGAUCCAGCCAUGCCGCGUGAGUGAAGAAGGCCUUUGGGUUGUAAAGCUCUUUCAGACGGAAAGAAAACGCAUCGGUGAAUACCCGGUGUGGAUGACGGUACCGUAAGAAGAAGCACCGGCUAACUACGUG